CAUCUUUUUAUAAUGGCGAAUCACAGAGUGAAGCACUCUAUCACAAUUUGAGCCCUCUAAGUGAAGAUCUGUUAAGAAUAUUCCUCUGGCUGCCAGAAGGUUGAUGAGCUACAAUACAGUAAAUGGAAUUCCUUUCUACCCUACCAUAACCUUUCAGUUUCCAGUGAGGCCUUAAAAGAGAGAGAGAAAACCAUGCCUUGGACAGACAUGCUGCCUGACUACAGCUGUGCUGUACAGAUUCUGAGUAAAUUUGGAGAAAUCACACCAGAAUGAAAUAAAUACAAAGGGAAAGCAUGUGGCUACGUAGCAUUACUACAUAUGGCACUAGUGAUGACUUUGGUGAGUAAAGGACUGCAAGAUAAGGCCAAUUCAUCUUCCAUUGAAGUCAAAGGAAACAUUCCAGUUAUGCCCACUGGGAGUUUAUAUAGGGCCCACACCAAAAUAACACAAUACUUUUGUGGCAGGCCCAGAAAAAAAAAAAAAAAAAAAAAACAGACAUGACUGGACUCGAUAUCUUGUGCAUUAGCCAGAAGGCUAUUCUUCCUCCUGUUUGGAUACUAUGCGAGACAUAGCUGGGUAUCGGAGAGAAAAAUCUACCUCUUCCCCAUGGAACAUACUAAUGUAAACAAUGAAAUCCUGAGGAUGGUAAGAACUCUGUCAAAGAUUCAGAAAUGAAGACAGUGUACAUCUCAACACUGGAAGUGAUUAAAUUAAUUAUUAUUUGAAACAUGUAUCUAAAAAAAGAACUCUAUAGUACUGAAAAUAUUGUGACUACUUCAAAAUAACCUUAGGAACUAUAGAAGAUGCUCAAUGCUUCAUAAAAGCAAAUGUUUCAUAGUUGACAAGCAAUUGAACUAUAGAAAGAAACUCGGUUAAGUUAAUUCUCUGAACCAGGACAAGGUAUAAACAAAAAAAUGUGAGACAAAGCACUAGAAUAUAAAAACAACAUCAUAUUAAAUAGUGCAAGGGUAUGUUUCCUACUACUCUAUGGUAGUCAUUUUAGGACAGCUAACAGAAGAAAUUGGAGGUAGGAUGUUAAAUGACAAUUAGAUGUUGCUUCUUGAAACUGUCCUUGAAUUUAGGUUGAUUUUUAACUGUUUCCUCUCUCAAGGAGUCGCAUGUAAAUGGGCUUUGGAGGAUUAAUUAUUGAACCAACAUCUAUUUUUAGCCAGCUGAUUGAAGUCAUAGGGACUGGAACAAUUAGUGCACCUGCUUUAAUUCAAUAGCCUCCUUUCGUACGAAUGUAUAUAUAUAAAUUAAUAGCCAGAAAGGGUGAGUGAUAAUUAGUGGAUUGUUCCAAAGUUACUGUUUCCUGUCAUGGCUCUAUAGUUGGGGCAGAAAGGUUUUGGGAAUACCUCUCAAUAUUAGCAUUGGCUAGCUAAGGAUGACAUAUGGAUCACUACCACUCUUAAAAUAUAGGUCUGAUAUACCUGAGCUUUGGUACAUUACCCCAUUUUAGAACACUGAAUAUUAAAUUCCAUUCUGUUGGUUGCCAGUUAAUUUCUAAAGCUAUGGCCAUACUACAGAGCUUGUACCAGAAUAGCCCCCUAGGGGAAAUGCAGCCUCCAUUAACCGAGUUUUCUGCCAGGGUAGCAACUCCUGAAUUCUCCCUGAAUGAGGUGGCAUAGUUGAAUCUUGGGUAUUUUGUCGCCGUGGGGUGUGUGUUUUGCCACACGACUGACUGGCAGAGCUAUGCUGGAAUAAGUUUUAAGUGCAGACCAGGCCUAAUUCUGACUUUUGUGCUGGUUUCAUAUUGACUAAGGAAACAGUAGAAUAGACAAUAUAAUAUUUGAUGAGACAAGUGAUGUGAAUGAAAAUUGGAGGUGAUUUAAAAGUUGCUGCAAGUUCCAUGUUACUUGAAAUCCAUAUUAUUCAUUGAGGAGUACAGUCUAUUUUUGGAGCAGGGCAUCCAUUGCAUUUAUUACAGCUCCUCAAAAAACUACAGGACUUUGCAUUUUGACUUGUGAAUUUUAACAUGCUGGUGUUAGUUUUGAAAAGACAGUGAAGCUCAAGAUUGUAAUUGGAGUUAGAUUUGUACCUCAGUUAUUAAUGAAACUGAUUUGGAUUUCUCUCAUCGAAGCUCCACACACACUAAUUCUGAAGUGCUGCGUGGUGAACCCUUUCAACAUUGUUUUCAAACUGAAAUGGAAAAGAUUUUAAUAGUAAUGAUCAUGACUGCAGUAGUCUUCCGGUUCAAUAGACAAAAGGAGAAAAAGUCAAGAUUUUAAUGAAGACAACUAUACUGUAAAAAUACAACCCACUAAACACAAGGGGAACAUUGUUAGAUGUUGCUUAGUCAUGGGCUAGUAAUUUCUAUUAACUGUUUAUGGUUAUGCCAGUUAAACCAAAAAUAUACUGAUUGCAACAAAAAUAUGUGUUAAUAUUCUGAUCAACAGAAUAUUUUGUAUCCAUAACAACACUUUAAUUUCCAUCUGGUAUUUUGCUGUAUAUUUCUCUUUAAGAAGAGCUCAAGGAAAAAUCUGAAGUUAUGAGAUCUUAAAGUUAUAAUGAAGCAAUGAUUUCAUACUGUACCAUCUUUGUAGGAGUGCUACGUAAUAUUUCAAUUAAACUGCGAAGUAAGUACUGCAUUAAUUGUAGCCUAUUAGUCACAAACGACAACAUUUUAUUUUGUUGUACUUAAGUAUUUUAUUAGGAACAGACUGUUUUAGUUAGUGUUUGUUGCCCCAAGAGUUUUAGAGGAACUGAUUUUCUGUCAGGAAAGAUUGGAAUCAAUUGCAUUCUUCCUUUCCAGACAGUGCUAAAACAUUUAUUUAAAGGUUUAUAUGCUCACCCUGCCUUAUCUGUAUUCCAAGUCACUUGUCCAAUGAAAUAAAAUUCAUUCAUGCCUUCCUUCACUGUGUUAUUGACAAAGUGUAAGCUUUAUGUGACUGGAAGCCAGAAUUCUGUCUUUUGAGAAUACCUCUCUAAACUUGUCUGAAAGAAUUAUUUUAUUGCAUUUUUCAUGCCAGUUCAAGUAGGUUUGAAUGGUAAAUCCUAGAAGUUGGAAUGUCUAUGUCCAUAUUAGCCUUUCGAAUUAGUUGCAUGUACAAUAUGUUAGAGACUACAUCAUUAAAUACUAGUACUUCAUGUUACUAUGCAAGAUUGUUAUUUUGAUUA
Long non-coding RNA from Trachemys scripta elegans, 3117 nucleotides. RefSeq lists it as uncharacterized. The transcript is spliced from 4 exons. The record is from RefSeq and is a predicted model, not a curated record. NCBI's taxonomy places the organism in Eukaryota, Metazoa, Chordata, Testudines, Emydidae.